CCAUUCGGUGUGUGCCUCGUCGUCCCCCUUCCGCUACGAGCCCCUCCUCCUGCUUCGCGCGACUUUCCCAACACCGCUAUCUCUGUGUGUGUUGCGCGGAACCGCACCACAACGCGCCGUUGUGCUCUUCAGCGUAUAUCGCUCUAUUUCGCGCUAUCCCCCCUCUCUCUCUGUGACGCACACGCACUUGCGCGCCGCAGAUCCGAGUUUUAUUCCUCAGACGUGUCUGCUGCCUGCAUCCACCGUCGUGCAUCCACCAUCCUGGCCUGCACGGACACAAAGUGGCACACGCACGCGCAUGCAUACAUGUGUAUAUGCACACACGCGCACUGUCAGGCCUGUCGGCAUCUGCGGCGGUGACCGAGCAACAUCGAGCUGGGAGACGCCCGAAACGAAAGAGAAGUCUGCGUGCGGAAUUCUUUAGAAGGCCUGUGGUGCCAGUUGGCGGUCGAGCCAACACGCGAUCCGCCUUCACGAGCGAGGGAGAGCGAGAUGCGCGUUGCAGCACCGUUGUACACUCUUGGACUCCAGCGCAGAGGCGCUGGCCUAGUCGCUGCCGCGUCUAUCCUCAAUGUCGCUUCUCACAGAAUACACGGCGGAGCGACUCUGGUAUCUGCAGGCAAGGCAUCGCUGGCGCUCGGCCCGACACAGCUGAUGCUCCAUGAUGAAAUGGCGCCAGUGGUGGGGCUUCUCCUGCGGUCGCGAUUGUUGCGGGCUCCGCGGUCGACAUUGUCAGCACCAUCUUCAUCCCAGCUCACUUCGUGCUCGGAGAUCCCGGCGGGAGAAGCCAGCAGCAGCCCCAUCACGGACGAAGAGACAGCGGCGCCUGCAUCGGUGGCUGAGCAGGCGGAGGCACCCUCCAUCAUGGUGCACCCUGCCGAGGGAGGCGUUGAAGUCGGCUCCACGGGUGCUGGGGCUGCUGCCGCGGUCUUUUGUGGUGGUCGCAGCGGCGUUCCGUCUGUCGUCUCCUCGCAGAAUGACAUUACAAGCGAGGCGCGUCUGGACCAGAUCGUGGCCGUGCUCGAGGAGAAGCGCGUGGAGCGGCAGCGCAAGAUGUUCGAGGACAUGAUCGUCUUCGAGGGCGGCGCCGUUUCCGACCACCCGUCUCUGGGCACGAGGCUCAUCAUGCGGGACUUUGUGCACUUUGCCCUCUACAACAACAAGUGGGGCUACUAUCCGAAGCUGUUUCGCAAGUAUCGCCAACUGAUGACCACGGGCUACUUCGACCCCAUCCCGUUCGCCUCACUGCGCAACCAGCAUGACUAUGAACGGUAUGCCACGAAGCUGCAUGAGUCGACGCCGGGUUUCGUGACACCCACGCAGCUCUUUCAGCCCUACUACGGCUGGGUGCUGGCGGAGUACCUCGUGACGACACACCGCGCCAAGUUUGAUCCCCGCGAGCCGCUCAUCGUGUAUGACAUCGGUGCCGGCACCGGUGCUCUAGCGUUGUCUGUACUCGACUACCUGGCCGAGCACUUUCCCGACCUCUACGCCGCAUGCGAGUACCACGCCGUGGAGCAGAACCCGCAUCUGAUCCAGGUACUGCGCAACAAGCUUAUCCACCACUACCACCACGUCAACAUCCACCACCUGUCGGUGCUGAACUGGCGGCAGCUGGAGAAGCGGCGCUGCGUCGUGCUUGCCGUGGAGCUCUUCUCCGGCAUGCCACACGACUGCGUGUUGUGGGACCAAGAGGCGGUCGUGAGUGAGCAUUGGUUCGGCUUUCAGCAACACGACAACCUCGCCACGGCGCACGAGCGCUACUACGCCCUACAGGAUCCAAUUAUUCUGCGUUACCUGCGCUACCUUAAUUGGAUGCAAGAGGAGUCGUUUCACAACUUGAAGGUGCUGUGCCUUACUGAGGGCCGCGAAACCCUUGACGCACCGAAUCGGCGGAGCAUCGAGCCCAAUAUGGCCGACUCCACCAUCGCGAUAUUCACGAAGAUGGCGUACAUCAUGAGCCCCUUCCACACUGCCUGGCUUCCCACAGUGCAGAUGGUCUUUCUUGAAAUGCUCGCUCAGUACUUCCCUCGCCAUCACCUCUUCGCGGCGGACUGGUCUAGCGUGCGACAAGCAUUGCCCGGCGUGAACGGCCCUGUGCUGCAGGUGAAGCUGCGCGUGGCCAAGGACAUGUACCUGCGCAAGCCCGUCGAUGCACUGCAUGCGAAUGCUGGCAUGGUCGACAUGUGCUUCCCAACAGACUUUGAUCACCUGUCCAUUGUCUAUGCCCGCAUCUGUGGGGCGCAGAAGGAGGUGGAGUCGAUGCGACACCCUGUGUUCUGGCAGACCCACGGCGGUGACAAGACGGCGCUCUUCACAACUCGCAGCGGGUACAACCCGCUGCUGGAAGACUUCCAACAGUUCCACGUCUUUACCUCACACCACUCACCAGAGCUGUAGCGGCGCGUGUGUGGGUCUGGAUGCCUUGGCUGCAGGCAGCGGCGGGUGGUGGUGUAGUCGGCGGGUACCCGCGCGCUGUGGUCCAACGCCUGGGACCCGUCGUUUCCACCCCCCUCCACCCUUCUCAGAGACAGAGACGUACGCACCGUACACCUUCCCACUUCUCAGGCGUAGUGCUCGCAGUUGGCAGAGUGCGCUGUCGCUGUCGCCAACUUUUUGUUUAGCUUCCCCUUGAUAUCGUUGCCGUUGUCGUUGGACAUCUCAACACAGCACUGCAGUGACAAAGGACACGCAUCACCUCUUUCCUUCCUCUCCCGCUCUUUAGAUGCGAUACGAGAAGGUAUGUGCGAGGUGCGCGCGUGCGCACACGCAGAAAGGACGCGAGGAGAGCGCGAGCGUGCGGGCCAUGCGUGUUUUGUGAGGUGAGGAGAGCACGAGAGUAUUCGUGCGUAGGCGCAUUUCUCUCUCUCUUUCUGUCUUCACUUUGUGUCCUCCUGCUCUACUGCCGAUCUUCGGCAGUCGGUGCUCACUGGGUAGUCGUUGACGGACUCGCACACAGGCGCGCCACAGAGGACAACACACUCGUGCAGAUAUUGUCGUGCCGACUAUGUACGAACAUCUCCUCUUGUGCUUGCCGGCAUGGGCGCGGGCUCCCUUGCCUUGAAUGCGUUUCUUUUUUUUUAACCUUCUCUUCCAGCUCUCUCCCCUAUCGCUCUCUCUCUCACUGUCUCUAUGACGUCUCGGGACGGCUUGGCUGCGCAUGCUGGCUCAUAAACUCACAUAAAUGUAUGCGCUCCUUCCGAAUCUGUUGCACACACACAUACACACGCACGCAGUCGAUGCGAACGCAUUCUAGGGGGGGGGUCAAGCAAGCAACAGAAGGAACAGCAGCAGCAGCAAACAACGGCAACGCAAAUACGCUGUCGUCUUCUUCGCACUCCCCUGCAAGCAUCUGAACAGGCGCGAGCUUGCCAAGCGCACGUGUGCGUGAGCUCGUGAGGGAGUGCUGCUGUCUUGUGGCGCCUUUGUUUCGCGCUUCGUUAUCUGUGUGAGUGCGGGCACCCGCUUUAUUUUUGUGUGGUCCCCCCUCUCUCUCUCUCUCGCUCCUUCUCCGCCCCUCACCGCUCUCUUGCUUGUUCGGUUUUCGUUCCGUCCACUGUGUCCUCUCGCCGAGCCUCACUCACUCUCUCUCGCUUCUCCAUACACAG
RNAcentral lists this unclassified non-coding RNA (3608 nucleotides) under Leishmania donovani. Its description in RNAcentral is "gene:LdHU3.22.1720(CDS-product:Putative_S-adenosy l-L-methionine-dependent_methyltransferase_putative)". The record is from RNAcentral. Lineage: Eukaryota; Euglenozoa; Kinetoplastea; Trypanosomatida; Trypanosomatidae.